This 372-nucleotide long non-coding RNA is filed under the name Lotus japonicus. Its description in RNAcentral is "long non-coding RNA (LJAP_LNC002077)". Lineage: Eukaryota; Viridiplantae; Streptophyta; Magnoliopsida; Fabales; Fabaceae. The record is from RNAcentral.
AAAAAUAAGAGGAAAAGAACUGAAAAUAGACUCCAGGAAAAAGUCUGCAGGUCUUCCAGAAAAAUAGUGUCUAAAGAUGAUUCACAGAAAGUAACAAUAGAAGACAACAAUGGAUUACAAUCACAUGGUGAUUGCUUUUCUAGUCCAGGUAAUGCAUGUCUGAUAAGGAAAUGUACUUCUCUUAGUAAACAAAUAAUGAUAAUUGCCUAUUUCUUAAUUUUCAGGAAGACAACACCAGGUAUAUUCCACCAUGACAGAUGAAAUCUUUUGGCAACAUAAUAAUGGUCACAACCUCAAUGAAAGCAACACAUCCGAGAUGGAAGGACAAAUGGCACUUGUCUCAUAUAAAGGAGAUGUGGAAGGACAAAAGGC